This 440-nucleotide ribosomal RNA is filed under the name Exiguobacterium mexicanum. RNAcentral's name for it is "bacterial SSU rRNA". It matches the Rfam family "Bacterial small subunit ribosomal RNA", at positions 57 to 482 of the family's 1533-position model. The record is from RNAcentral. Lineage: Bacteria; Bacillati; Bacillota; Bacilli; Caryophanales.
GGAAGUCGACGGAACCCUUCGGGGGGAAGUCGACGGAAUGAGCGGCGGACGGGUGAGUAACACGUAAAGAACCUGCCCUCAGGUCUGGGAUAACCACGAGAAAUCGGGGCUAAUACCGGAUGGGUCAUCGGACCGCAUGGUCCGAGGAUGAAAGGCGCUCCGGCGUCGCCUGGGGAUGGCUUUGCGGUGCAUUAGCUAGUUGGUGGGGUAAUGGCCCACCAAGGCGACGAUGCAUAGCCGACCUGAGAGGGUGAUCGGCCACACUGGGACUGAGACACGGCCCAGACUCCUACGGGAGGCAGCAGUAGGGAAUCUUCCACAAUGGACGAAAGUCUGAUGGAGCAACGCCGCGUGAACGAUGAAGGCCUUCGGGUCGUAAAGUUCUGUUGUAAGGGAAGAACAAGUGCCGCAGGCAAUGGCGGCACCUUGACGGUACCUUG